Molecule: unclassified non-coding RNA, 271 nt
Filed under: Streptomyces eurythermus
Lineage: Bacteria; Bacillati; Actinomycetota; Actinomycetes; Kitasatosporales; Streptomycetaceae
Description: partial 16S-23S ribosomal RNA intergenic spacer
Source: RNAcentral
AAGGAGCACUUCUAGGCCGUCUAGGCGGUCCAGAGGCCAGUACAUCAGCGAAUGUCUGAUGCUGGUUGCUCAUGGGUGGAACGUUGACUACUCGGUCGGAAUGCCGGGCUGGUGGCUGCUAGUACUGCUCUUCGGAGCGUGGAACGCAUGAUCACCGGACGGAGUCUGGCCGGGCACGCUGUUGGGUAUCUGAGGGAGCGAUUAACCCCUCAGUUGCCGGCCCCAGUGCACUCGGACCUGUUGGUUCGGGGUGAUGGGUGGCUGGUCGUUG